Molecule: ribosomal RNA, 424 nt
Filed under: Verrucomicrobiota bacterium
Lineage: Bacteria; Pseudomonadati; Verrucomicrobiota
Description: Verrucomicrobia bacterium partial 16S ribosomal RNA
Rfam family: Bacterial small subunit ribosomal RNA
Source: RNAcentral
UGAGGAAUAUUGGUCAAUGGACGAGAGUCUGAACCAGCCAAGUAGCGUGCAGGAUGACGGCCCUAUGGGUUGUAAACUGCUUUUGUUUGGGAAUAAUCGACAUUACGUGUAAUGUUUUGCAUGUACCAUUCGAAUAAGGACCGGCUAAUUCCGUGCCAGCAGCCGCGGUAAUACGGAAGGUCCAGGCGUUAUCCGGAUUUAUUGGGUUUAAAGGGAGUGUAGGCGGUUGGUUAAGCUUGUUGUGAAAUGUAGAUGCUCAACAUCUGACUUGCAGCGGGAACUGGCUGACGUGAGUACACACAACGUAGGCGGAAUUCAUGGGGUAGCGGUGAAAUGCUUAGAUAUCAUGAAGAACUCCGAUUGCGAAGGCAGCUUACGGGGGUGUUACUGACGCUUAAGCUCGAAGGUGCGGGUAUCGAACAGG